This 4607-nucleotide long non-coding RNA is filed under the name Olea europaea subsp. europaea. The record is from RNAcentral. Lineage: Eukaryota; Viridiplantae; Streptophyta; Magnoliopsida; Lamiales; Oleaceae.
AAAACAGAGCCGUCGUAUGUUUAGACAAACAACGAAGCUGCGUCCCCUCAUCCCUGUGAAUCUUACCAGUCGGAGGUGAAUGCUGGCAAUCUUCGGGUAGAUUGUGACGGGAAGUGAAAGAGGCAUUCGACAUGUGCAAAAAUCAUUUUCUGGGGAAUGAUUAAUUUUUGGUUCGUGCUUUUCUGGUCAGUGGUUCGGUUCGUGCUUUCGUGGUCUACCACUCCACCAAACCUCCAAGCUACUUCGGUGAAUGAUUAAUUUUUGGCUCAAAGACAAAUCAUUUCUUGGAUGAAUAGGGGUUUCAGGGAUUAGCAAGUUGCAUGUUUGUUUUAUAGAUUUCGCUUUUUAUCAUUAAUCACUGUAUAAGCUUAAAAUUAACAAAUCAGUUUAACAAAUAGUCCUUCAAGAGCUGUAAUCUUCUGUCCUUAACCUCCUUGCAAAUGUUAAGGUAACAUAUUAAGAAAGGCCUCGAGAUGGGAAUACAAUCUCCAUAAUUAUAAUCAAAGCUUUGAGCCAGUCUACUGCUUUCACCAUUCAAUGCUUUGAGCUUCAUAAAAGUAGGAUCCUCUUCACUCUCAAACCUUGUAUCAAACAUGAUCCUGUACAUGUUAUUGUACAUCAUUAAUUGCCAUCUCCUCCGUAAAACAAUCCCAUAAUGUACUCGAGAAAUUUGGCUUAUUAUGUUUCUUGAAUUUUUAAUUAAUUCUCUGUAGUUUUACUGACUGGAGUGAGGGCUUUAUCAGUUUUGAAAACCCACAAUUUAUGAACUUCAUGGACUUUGAAUUACCUGGACUUUGAAUUACCAAAUUUGAUUCAUUUAGUGGAAGAGGAAUAAACCCUUUUGUGGGCUCAAUUACAUGUCUCCAAGUUGUUGUUUCUAGAGUUUGAAUUCACUCCUUCUACGGCAAUCUGACAGAAUUACCUGAAUGCAAGAAUUGAUCAACAGGAUCCAAAAUUGUAAUUCGAGCCCACCGACUUCACGAUGUGUCCUUAAAACGAAUUUGCUGCCUUCAAUGGUGCUAAAGGCGUCCAACAAUCGUUUCCCAGGAUAGAACGAAUUUUUCGUCUCCUACGGAAGCAGCACUGCAGUUUGUAGGAGUUCCAACGAACUCAACGAAGUAUUUUUUACUUCGAGACAAUAUCAGAACGAGAGAGAGAGGGAAAUGAGAUUCAAAGCACAGAAAGUUUGCAAUGAAAAUGGUGUAAAUUUUCUGGUAGAAAGGCUGGCUAUUUAUAGACUUGUUCGUGGCCAUUCGAACAGUCAUCACCUUUCAGACAAGCCUCAAAAAUCCAAACAGACAUACUGUUCUUAAAAGUCGUGUCUGUUAAGUCGGUUAACAGUCGGCUAACAGUCGACUGUUUGGUCGGUAAACAGUCGAAACAGUCGACUGUUAAAAAGAAAAUAAAUAAAACACCCGGAAUAAGCCAAAAUUUCAUUUUGUACCCAAGAAUUUGAUUAUUUACAAUUUGGUCCAAAAUUUUAAAUAAAUUUUGUCCAAAAAGUUAAUAUAGUGUAAAGGUCGACCCGGACCCGCACCGGACUCGGGCACGGGCACGGGCACGUGCUCGUGCCGUGCCGUGCCGAGCCGAGCCGGCCGGUCGGACGGACGGCGGCGGCGGCGGCGGCGCGCGCGUAUGGGUUUAUGACCGAACCUAAUAGGAUAUAGGUCUUCCCCCUUCCAAAGACUAUUGGUACCCCUUGGGGCCCAAACCCAAUUCCAAACUUCCACCUUAUAAACCACACCAAAGUUUCCUAACUUUCCUAUGUGGGAUAAGUGUUUGGCAAAUCAAAUUCUUCCAUAAUCCUUAGUUUAUGUGGGUUACUUUAACACUUAAUAUUUCAUUCAAUUUUAAAUGGUUUUCGAUAAAUAAAUAUAUCACGUUAAUCAUCUCGCGGAGUAGAACGUGAAUAUGCUAGGUCCCGUAUUAUUUAAAAGGUGGGUCCCACUGAAAUUUGGGCUCAAAGUUGACCCAUUAAACCAUUUUUUCCAACACAAGUCACAUCUCAGAAGGUAGACAAAUUGAAAUGUUUCGUUUGACAUAUAUUUUCCAACAAUUUUCAGGAACUUGAGAUGAAAUGUUUGGAUUGAUUUAUGUUUUAUUUGAGACUAAUUAUUGAUGCUUAAACUUCCAUUUUCCUUGAACAAGUUAGUCGAACUACUUCAUCAUAUUGCUUCUCGUUUCUAUCAUUGCUUUUUAUUCUGUUGAACAUUAUCUUUCUACUUGGACGCAAAGUGUGAAAUUAUGGAACCCGGGAACGAAAAUGGUUUCAUGCAAUCCGAUAAUGAGAUAGUUUCAGACAAUAUCAACGUUGUGGAUAACGACACCUUGAGAGGAGAUGGAGAGAUUGAGCCCGAGGUGGGUAUGACAUUUAAAGAUGAGAAGGAGUUGUUUGAUUUCUACAAGCAAUAUGCCUAUGCAGUUGGUUUCCCAGUCAGAAAAAAAAAUUCUAAAAAGGGGGAUGAUGGAGUUGUUAGAUUUGUGACAUUUACAUGUAGUCGUGAGGGCUGAAGGUCUAGUAAUACAAACAGUGCUUUGAGGCCGCAACCAAUAAGUCAAACAAAUUGUAAAGCACGGAUAUCUGCAUCUGCAGACUGUAAUGGCACAUGGAGAAUUAACACUAUCAACCUCCAACACAUCCAUAAGACAAGUCCUUCGAAAUCUAGGAUGUUUCGGUGCAAUCGGGAAUUAAGUGCAAAUGUGAAACGAAAGCUUGAAUUGAAUGACAUAGCGGGAAUUUCACUGCACAAAAGUUUCAACUCUACAGUUGUAGAGGCAGGUGGGUAUGAGAAUAUGACUUGCGUUGAAAAAGAGUGCCGAAAUUAUAUUGAACAAGUUAGACGGUUAUGACAUGGAGAGAGAGAUGCAGCAGCAUUACAAUCUUACUUUUCAUAGAUGCAAGCACGGUGCUUAGGGUUUUACUUUGCUAUGGAUUUAGAUGAUGAGUCUUGGCUUAAGAAUGUAUUUUGGGCAGAUAAUAGAUGUAGGCAACCUUACAAGGAGUUCGGGGAUGUUGUAACUUUUGAUACCACUUAUUUGAAGAAUAAGUACGACAUGCCUUUCGCACCUUUUGUUGGUGUAAAUCAUCAUGGACAAUCAACACUACUUGGUUGUCGCUUGUUAUCAAAUGAGAAUACAAGUACGUUUGUCUGGCUAUUUAGGAUGUGGCUUCAGUGCAUGCAUGAUCAACCUCCACGUGGAAUAAUUACCGAUCAAGACAAAGCCAUGCAGAAUGCAAUCGAGAUUGUAUUUCCGAAUACUAGACAUAGAUGGUGCUUGUGGCACAUUAUGAAGAAAUUUCCAAAGAAGUUUGAGUACCACAUUGACAAAAGUUUGAUAUUCUCGACUAUACAUCGUUUGGUAUACGACUCGCAAGCUGUUGAUGAAUUUGAAAAAGGUUGGAGAGCCAUGAUCGAUGAGUUUGAGUUGUAUGACAAUGAUUGGUUGUUUGGAUUGUACGAAAAUCGAGGUCGUUGGGUGCCUUGCUUUUUGAAAACAACUUUCUGGGCUGGGAUGUCUACAAUACAACGAAGUGAAAGUAUGAAUGCAUUUUUCGAUGGAUACAUCCAUUCGCAGACCUCUUUGAGACAGUUCAUUGAACAAUACGAACAAGCACUGAGGAAUAAGGUUGAAAAAGAGCUCCAAGCUGAUUUCAAAUCAUACUCGCAGAUGGUCCCGUUUGCAACAAGUUUUGAGAUGGAAAAACAAUUUCAAUUAGUAUACACAAUUUCAAAGUUCAAGAAAGUUCAAGAUGAGUUUGUAGAAAAGAUUUAUUGUGAUGUCGCUUUGGAAGUAGAGGGAUUGUAUGGGGUGAAGUACGAGGUUCGGGAGUCUAUAGUAUACCUCGAGGGUAGGAAGAAGAAAACAUUUCUCGUCUCAUUUCUGAGGGACACUAGUGAAGUGAUGUGUAGUUGCCACUUGUUUGAGUUUCGAGGAAUUAUUUGUAGGCCUGCGAUCACAGUGUUCGACCGUAAUGACUUCACAAGAAUGCCAGAGAAGUAUAUAUUGUGGCGGUGGAGGAGAGAUAUCAGUAGGGCACAUACGAGGGUCGCAGUGAACUACGCCGGGUUGGUUAGUAUGCCUGAACAAUUAAGAUAUGAUGAUAUGUGUCAAGCAUUUUCGGAGGUGGCAGACCUUGCUGCGAGUGACGAAGGGCGGGCUCGAGCAAUAAUGGAUUGGAUAAAACUCCAAGCAACAGAGUUGAGGACUUCCCGGUCGAGUGGUGGUAGUAAUGUCGUUUCCCAGCAAAAUUUUCAGGGUGCCACACAGUGUAUUGGAUCCCAGAAUACCACAGGCGUGAAUGUGUUGAAUCCUCACUCGUCAAACAGAAAGGGCGCGCACCGAGGAAGUUUAGGAAAAAAGGCCCGUUGGAGUCUAUUUCGAAGAAGGUAACUGUAUUUUUCCCUAUUAAUUUGUUCAACUAAAUGCGAAUUCCACCACAAAAUUUGAAUUUUGUGCAUGUAUGUACAGGAAAGUUCGAAGUCAGAUAAAGGAAAGAGACUAAGAGAUAGGCGCACUGAUAUGGAAGAGGCUGCACCUAAAGUCCAGCAAUCUGAACAAGUUCAACAUUUGCUACGAACACCAUUCUCAUAUUGACAGCUUCUGUU